Molecule: ribosomal RNA, 433 nt
Filed under: uncultured bacterium
Lineage: Bacteria
Description: partial 16S ribosomal RNA
Rfam family: Bacterial small subunit ribosomal RNA
Source: RNAcentral
AACGAACGCUGGCGGCAUGCCUAACACAUGCAAGUCGAACGAGACCUUCGGGUCUAGUGGCGCCCCGGUGCGUAAAGCGUGGGAACCUGCCCUUAUGAUCGGAAUAACUCUUUGAAAUGGGUGCUAAUACCGGAUACUGUCUUCGGACCAAAGAUUUAUCGCCUUUGGAUGGGCGCGCGUUGGAUUAGCUUGUUGGUAGGGUAAAAGCGUACCAAGGGUACGAUGCAUAGUUGGUCUGAGAGGAUGAUCAGCCACACUGGGACUGAGACACGGCCCAGACUCCUACGGGAGGGAGCAGUGGGGAAUAUUGGACAAAGGGCGAAAGCCUGAACCAGCAGUGCCGCGUGAGUGAUGAAGGCCUGAGGGUUGUAAAGCCCUUUUACCCGGGAUGAUAAUGACGGUACCGGGAGAAUAAGCUCCGGCUAACUCCGUG